AUUGAACGCUGGCGGAAUGCUUUACACAUGCAAGUCGAACGGCAGCACGGACUUCGGUCUGGUGGCGAGUGGCGAACGGGUGAGUAAUACAUCGGAACGUGCCCAGUCGUGGGGGAUAACGUAGCGAAAGCUACGCUAAUACCGCAUACGAUCUAAGGAUGAAAGCGGGGGAUCGCAAGACCUCGCGCGAUUGGAGCGGCCGAUGGCAGAUUAGGUAGUUGGUAGGGUAAAGGCCUACCAAGCCGACGAUCUGUAGCUGGUCUGAGAGGAUGAUCAGCCACACUGGGACUGAGACACGGCCCAGACUCCUACGGGAGGCAGCAGUGGGGAAUUUUGGACAAUGGGCGCAAGCCUGAUCCAGCCAUUCCGCGUGCAGGAUGAAGGCCUUCGGGUUGUAAACUGCUUUUGUACAGAACGAAAAGGCUCUGGUUAAUACCCGGGGCACAUGACGGAACUGUAAGAAUAAGCACCGGCUAACUACGUGCCAGCAGCCGCCGUAA
RNAcentral lists this ribosomal RNA (500 nucleotides) under uncultured bacterium. RNAcentral's name for it is "partial 16S ribosomal RNA". It matches the Rfam family "Bacterial small subunit ribosomal RNA", at positions 30 to 523 of the family's 1533-position model. The record is from RNAcentral.